ACGGGGUGCAGCAGGCGCGAAAACUUGGCAAUGCGAGCAAUCGUGACCAGGGAACUCCAAGUGGCUGGGGUAAGACCCAGUCUUUUCAGAACUCUUCAAAGGUUUUAGAAUAAGGGGUGGGUAAGGACGGUGCCAGCCGCCGCGGUAAUACCGGCGCCUCAAGUGGUAGUCGCUUUUAUUGGGCCUAAAACGUCCGUAGCCGGUUUGGUACAUUCGUGGGUAAAUCAACUCGCUCAACGAGUUGAAUUCUGCGAGGACGGCCAGACUUGGGACCGGGAGAGGUGUGGGGUACUCUCAGGGUAGGGGUAAAAUCCUGUCAUCCUGAGAGGACCACCUGUUGCGAAGGCGCCACACUAGAACGGAUCCGACGGUCAGGGACGAAGCCUAGGGGCACGAACCGGAUUAGAUACCCGGGUAGUCCUAGGUGUAAACGCUGUGGACUUGAUGUUGGAGGAGCUCCGAGCUCUUUCAGUGUCGAAGCGAAGGUGAUAAGUCC
RNAcentral lists this ribosomal RNA (496 nucleotides) under uncultured archaeon. Its description in RNAcentral is "bacterial SSU rRNA". It matches the Rfam family "Archaeal small subunit ribosomal RNA", at positions 325 to 822 of the family's 1478-position model. The record is from RNAcentral.